CAAAGGUUUGGUCCUAGCCUUACUGUUAAUUUUAAUUAAGCCUACACAUGCAAGUUUCCGCUGCCCAGUGAGAAUGCCCUCAAAAUUCUACAAUCGAAUCAACAGGAGCAGGUAUCAGGCACACCCGUCCCGGUAGCCCAUAACACCUUGCUUAGCCACACCCCCACGGGAUACAGCAGUGACUAACUUUAAGAUAUGAACGAAAGUUUGACUAAAUUAUAAUUAUACAGGGUUGGUAAAUUUCGUGCCAGCCGCCGCGGUCAUACGAUUAACCCAAAUUAACAGAACACCGGCGUAAAGCGUGUUUAAGCGCAAAUCUCAAAAUAAAGUUAAUACUUAACUAAACUGUAAUACGCCCUAGUUAACAUUAAAAUAAACAACUAAAGUGACUUUAAUUUCGCUGAAUACACGACAACUAAGACUCAAACUGGGAUUAGAUACCCCACUAUGCUUAGUCAUAAACCUAGGUAAUCCGAUAACAAAAUUAUUCGCCAGAGAACUACUAGCCACCGCUUAAAACUCAAAGGACUUGGCGGUGCUCUAAACCCACCUAGAGGAGCCUGUUCUAUAAUCGAUAAACCCCGAUACACCUCACCCCUUCUUGCCAAUACAGCCUAUAUACCGCCAUCGUCAGCUCACCCCAAUAGGGGACAAAAGUGGGCAAAAAUCAUUCACCAUAAAAACGUUAGGUCAAGGUGUAGCAUAUGAAGGGGGAAGUAAUGGGCUACAUUUUCUAAAUUAGAAAACCAACGAACUAUCUCAUGAAACCCUGAGUCAUACGAAGGAGGAUUUAGUAGUAAAUUAAGAAUAGAGAGCUUAAUUGAAAUAGGCAAUAGAGCGCGCACACACCGCCCGUCACCCUCCUCAACACAAACCGUCACAUUAACUAAUAAGUUAUCCAAAAAAAGAGGAGAAAAGUCGUAACAUGGUAAGUGUACUGGAAGGUGCACUUGGAGUAU
Molecule: non-coding RNA, 959 nt
Organism: Vombatus ursinus (common wombat)
Lineage: Eukaryota; Metazoa; Chordata; Mammalia; Diprotodontia; Vombatidae
Source: Ensembl